RNAcentral lists this ribosomal RNA (446 nucleotides) under uncultured bacterium. Its description in RNAcentral is "partial 16S ribosomal RNA". It matches the Rfam family "Bacterial small subunit ribosomal RNA", at positions 338 to 795 of the family's 1533-position model. The record is from RNAcentral.
CCUACGGGUGGCAGCAGUCGAGAAUCAUUCACAAUGGGGGAAACCCUGAUGGUGCGACGCCGCGUGGGGGAAUGAAGGCCUUCGGAUUGUAAACCCCUGUCAUGUGGGAGCAAAUUAAUAAGAUAGUACCACAAGAGGAAGAGACGGCUAACUCUGUGCCAGCAGCCGAGGUAAUACCGAGGUCUCAAGCGUUGUUCGGAAUCACUGGGCGUAAAGCGUGCGUAGGCUGUUUCGUAAGUCGUGUGUGAAAGGCGCGGGCUCAACCCGCGGACGGCACAUGAUACUGCGAGACUAGAGUAAUGGAGGGGGAACUGGAAUUCGCGGUGUAGCAGUGAAAUGCGUAGAUAUCGAGAAGAACACUCGUGGCGAAGGCGGGUUCCUGGACAUUAACUGACGCUGAGGCACGAAGGCCAGGGGAGCGAAAAGGAUUAGAUACCCUAGUAGUC